GCAGUCGACGGUACAGGAGAGCUUGCUUCUUUGCUGACGAGUGGCGGACGGGUGAGUAUGUCUGGGAACUGCCUGAUGGAGGGGGAUAACUACUGGAACGGUAGCUAAUACCGCAUAACGUCGCAAGACCAAAGAGGGGGACCUUCGGGCCUCUUGCCAUCGGAUGUGCCCAGAUGGGAUUAGCUAGUAGGUGGGGUAACGGCUCACCUAGGCGACGAUCCCUAGCUGGUCUGAGAGGAUGACCAGCCACACUGGAACUGAGACACGGUCCAGACUCCUACGGGAGGCAGCAGUGGGGAAUAUUGCACAAUGGGCGCAAGCCUGAUGCAGCCAUGCCGCGUGUAUGAAGAAGGCCUUCGGGUUGUAAAGUACUUUCAGCGGGGAGGAAGGUAGUAAAGUUAAUACCUUUGCUCAUUGACGUUACCCGCAGAAGAUG
Molecule: ribosomal RNA, 436 nt
Filed under: Escherichia coli
Lineage: Bacteria; Pseudomonadati; Pseudomonadota; Gammaproteobacteria; Enterobacterales; Enterobacteriaceae
Description: bacterial SSU rRNA
Rfam family: Bacterial small subunit ribosomal RNA
Source: RNAcentral